AUCCUUUUGUAGUUCAUAAGCAUGAUGAUACGGUGUUCACACUGUUGUAUGACAUGUACCUCACUCAAACCUUGUUACAACCUCUGCACAUUACCCGUCCGAUG
Small nucleolar RNA from Leptonychotes weddellii (Weddell seal), 104 nucleotides. RefSeq annotates it as small nucleolar RNA U13. NCBI's taxonomy places the organism in Eukaryota, Metazoa, Chordata, Mammalia, Carnivora, Phocidae. The record is from RefSeq and is a predicted model, not a curated record.